GGGGGCGUAGCUCAGUUGGUAGAGCGUUCGGUUCGCAUCCGAAAGACCGAGAGUUCGAAUCUCUUCGCUUCCACCA
RNAcentral lists this transfer RNA (76 nucleotides) under Ruminococcus sp. RNAcentral's name for it is "tRNA-Ala". It matches the Rfam family "tRNA". Rfam says of the family: Transfer RNA (tRNA) molecules are approximately 80 nucleotides in length. Their secondary structure includes four short double-helical elements and three loops (D, anti-codon, and T loops). The record is from RNAcentral. Lineage: Bacteria; Bacillati; Bacillota; Clostridia; Eubacteriales; Oscillospiraceae.